This 1048-nucleotide ribosomal RNA is filed under the name Candidatus Portiera aleyrodidarum (primary endosymbiont of Bemisia tabaci). RNAcentral's name for it is "bacterial SSU rRNA". It matches the Rfam family "Bacterial small subunit ribosomal RNA", at positions 83 to 1120 of the family's 1533-position model. Lineage: Bacteria; Pseudomonadati; Pseudomonadota; Gammaproteobacteria; Johnevansiales (SeqCode); Johnevansiaceae (SeqCode). The record is from RNAcentral.
ACAGGUUGGCAAGCGGCGCACGGGUGAGUAAUACAUGUAAAUAUACCUAAAAGUGGGGAAUAACGUACGGAAACGUACGCUAAUACCACAUAAUUAUUACGAGAUAAAGCAGGGGCUUGAAAAAAAAAUCAACCUUGCGCUUUUAGAAAAUUACAUGCCGGAUUAGCUAGUUGGUAGAGUAAAAGCCUACCAAGGUAACGAUCCGUAGCUGGUCUGAGAGGAUGAUCAGCCACACUGGGACUGAGAAAAGGCCCAGACUCCUACGGGAGGCAGCAGUGGGGAAUAUUGGACAAUGGGGGUAACCCUGAUCCAGUCAUGCCGCGUGUGUGAAGAAGGCCUUUGGGUUGUAAAGCACUUUCAGCGAAGAAGAAAAGUUAUAAAAUAAAAAGUUAUAACUAUGACGGUACUCGCAGAAGAAGCACCGGCUAACUCCGUGCCAGCAGCCGCGGUAAGACGGAGGGUGCAAGCGUUAAUCAGAAUUACUGGGCGUAAAGGGCAUGUAGGUGGUUUGUUAAGCUUUAUGUGAAAGCCCUAUGCUUAACAUAGGAACGGAAUAAAGAACUGACAAACUAGAGUGCAGAAGAGGAAGGUAGAAUUCCCGGUGUAGCGGUGAAAUGCGUGGAUAUCUGGAGGAAUACCAGUUGCGAAGGCGACCUUCUGGCUGACACUGACACUGAGAUGCGAAAGCGUGGGGAGCAAACAGGAUUAGAUACCCUGGUAGUCCACGCUGUAAACGAUAUCAACUAGCCGUUGGAUUCUUAAAGAAUUUUGUGGCGUAGCUAACGCGAUAAGUUGAUCGCCUGGGGAGUACGGUCGCAAGGCUAAAACUCAAAUGAAUUGACGGGGGCCCGCACAAGCGGUGGAGCAUGUGGUUUAAUUCGAUGCAACGCGCAAAACCUUACCUACUCUUGACAUCCAAAGUACUUUCCAGAGAUGGAAGGGUGCCUUAGGGAACUUUGAGACGGGUGCUGCAUGGCUGUCGUCAGCUCGUGUUGUGAAAUGUUGGGUUAAGUCCCGUAGCGAGCGCAACCCUUGUCCUUAGUUGCCA